CUGAGCUUUCUAUUUCUAGACAAAUAUGCCCUACAAAUCAGAAAGCUAAUUUGCUGUUUGUUAGCAAAUGCCAGAUGUUAUACUGCAGCUCAGCAGAAGAAAUCUGUGGUUUUCCACACAACUUCUGACAACUCCGACAAUCCAUUUUGAGGAAUGAACUCUCUGUAACAGUGAUAGCUCCAGGCUGACAGGAAGCUGCACAGCUGGAGGCAGUGCAUCAGAGUAACAGUGGUAUGUGGCUUUUGGUCGACUGUGGAGAAUGGGCAAAGCAAGGCCACAUCUGACUGCUGCAGGCCGCGCAGACAUACCCCGGGGGCAUAAACCAGCAAGCUGUUUCAUGUGGCCUCCCCUUCCCCCAGCAUACAGCAGACUAGAAACCCAGCAUCACAGCACUCCAGCAGAUGGAUAAAAAAACAACAAAGCCAAGCUGAGAGCUAUGCCCAGCAGCUCUUAAACUGUAGCAAAGGCCUGCAUGGGACCAUUUUUCAGUGGGGCGUGAGGAGGGCAGGAGCAGCCAAGGGAAAUGUGCUGGCUGCCAAGUGAUGGUGGGAGAUGG
Long non-coding RNA from Gallus gallus (chicken), 556 nucleotides. Lineage: Eukaryota; Metazoa; Chordata; Aves; Galliformes; Phasianidae. The record is from Ensembl.